This 478-nucleotide ribosomal RNA is filed under the name uncultured bacterium. RNAcentral describes it as "partial 16S ribosomal RNA". It matches the Rfam family "Bacterial small subunit ribosomal RNA", at positions 28 to 523 of the family's 1533-position model. The record is from RNAcentral.
GACGAACGCUGGCGGCGUGCUUAACACAUGCAAGUCGAACGGUAAGGCCCUUCGGGGUACACGAGUGGCGAACGGGUGAGUAACACGUGGGUGAUCUGCCCUGCACUUCGGGAUAAGCCUGGGAAACUGGGUCUAAUACCGGAUAGGACUCCGGACUGCAUGGUCUGGGGUGGAAAGCUUUUGCGGUGUGGGAUGGGCCCGCGGCCUAUCAGCUUGUUGGUGGGGUGAUGGCCUACCAAGGCGACGACGGGUAGCCGGCCUGAGAGGGUGACCGGCCAAACUGGGACUGGGAUACGGCCCAGACUCCUACGGGAGGCAGCAGUGGGGAAUAUUGCACAAUGGGCGCAAGCCUGAUGCAGCGACGCCGCGUGAGGGAUGACGGCCUUCGGGUUGUAAACCUCUUUCAGCAUCGACGAAGCGAAAGUGACGGUAGGUGCAGAAGAAGGACCGGCCAACUACGUGCCAGCAGCCGCAGUAA